Molecule: ribosomal RNA, 490 nt
Filed under: uncultured bacterium
Lineage: Bacteria
Description: partial 16S ribosomal RNA
Rfam family: Bacterial small subunit ribosomal RNA
Source: RNAcentral
GAUGAACGCUAGCGGCAGGCCUAAUACAUGCAAGUCGAACGGGAUCCAGAUCAAAGCUUGCUUUGGUCUGGUGAGAGUGGCGCACGGGUGCGUAACGCGUGAGCAACCUACCCUUGUCAGGGGGAUAGCCCGGCGAAAGUCGGAUUAAUACCGCAUGACAUCAUUGAGAGGCAUCUUUCGAUGAUCAAAGAUUUAUCGGACAAGGAUGGGCUCGCGUGACAUUAGCUAGUUGGUAAGGUAACGGCCUACCAAGGCUGCGAUGUCUAGGGGCUCUGAGAGGAGAAUCCCCCACACUGGUACUGAGACACGGACCAGACUCCUACGGGAGGCAGCAGUAAGGAAUAUUGGUCAAUGGACGGAAGUCUGAACCAGCCAUGCCGCGUGCAGGAGGACGGCCCUAUGGGUUGUAAACUGCUUUUAUACGGGAACAAACGUCGGUACGUGUACCGGUCUGAGUGUACCGUAAGAAUAAGGAUCGGCUAACUCCGUG